RNAcentral lists this ribosomal RNA (508 nucleotides) under uncultured bacterium. RNAcentral's name for it is "partial 16S ribosomal RNA". It matches the Rfam family "Bacterial small subunit ribosomal RNA", at positions 28 to 523 of the family's 1533-position model. The record is from RNAcentral.
GACGAACGCUGGCGGCGUGCUUAACACAUGCAAGUGGAGCGACGAACCAGGGCUUGCCCUGGGCAGAGCCGCGAACGGGUGAGUAACACGUGGGUAACGUGCCCCAAUGAUCGGGACAACCCGGGGAAACCCGGGCUAAUACCGAAUGUGCUCCCCUCACACCAGUGAGGGGUGGAAAGGAAGCUUCGGCCUCCGCAUUGGGAUCGGCCCGCGGCCCAUUAGCUUGUUGGUGAGGUAAUGGCUCACCAAGGCUGCGAUGGGUAGCUGGUCUGAGAGGACGAUCAGCCACACUGGGACUGAGACACGGCCCAGACUCCUACGGGAGGCAGCAGUGGGGAAUCUUGCGCAAUGCGCGAAAGCGUGACGCAGCAACGCCGCGUGGGGGAAGAAGGCCUUCGGGUUGUAAACCCCUUUCAGGAGGGACGAAGCCCCGGCCGUUAAUAGCGGACCGGGGUAACGGUACCUCCAGAAGAAGCCCCGGCUAACUACGUGCCAGCCGCCGCUGUAA